UCCCUGGUGGCUCAGCAGUAAAGCAUCUGCCUGCAAUGCAGAAGACCCAGGUUCAAUUCCUGGAUUGGGAA
This 71-nucleotide transfer RNA is filed under the name Bos indicus x Bos taurus (hybrid cattle). It matches the Rfam family "tRNA". From Rfam's summary of the family: Transfer RNA (tRNA) molecules are approximately 80 nucleotides in length. Their secondary structure includes four short double-helical elements and three loops (D, anti-codon, and T loops). Further hydrogen bonds mediate the characteristic L-shaped molecular structure. tRNAs have two regions of fundamental functional importance: the anti-codon, which is responsible for specific mRNA codon recognition, and the 3' end, to which the tRNAs corresponding amino acid is attached (by aminoacyl-tRNA synthetases). tRNAs cope with the degeneracy of the genetic code in two manners: having more than one tRNA (with a specific anti-codon) for a particular amino acid; and 'wobble' base-pairing, i.e. permitting non-standard base-pairing at the 3rd anti-codon position. The record is from Rfam by way of RNAcentral. Lineage: Eukaryota; Metazoa; Chordata; Mammalia; Artiodactyla; Bovidae.